GCAAGUCGAGGGGUAACAGGGAUUGCUUGCACUCGCUGACGACCGGCGCACGGGUGCGUAACGCGUAUAGAACCUACCUUUUACAGAGGGAUAGCCUUUAGAAAUGAAGAUUAAUACCUCAUAGUAUUGCGAUUUGGCAUCAGAUUGUAAUUAAAGAUUUAUUGGUAAAAGAUGGCUAUGCGUCCUAUUAGUUAGAUGGUAAGGUAACGGCUUACCAUGACAAUGAUAGGUAGGGGUCCUGAGAGGGAUAUC
RNAcentral lists this ribosomal RNA (252 nucleotides) under uncultured bacterium. Its description in RNAcentral is "partial 16S ribosomal RNA". It matches the Rfam family "Bacterial small subunit ribosomal RNA", at positions 57 to 305 of the family's 1533-position model. The record is from RNAcentral.